Molecule: ribosomal RNA, 816 nt
Filed under: Aquipseudomonas alcaligenes
Lineage: Bacteria; Pseudomonadati; Pseudomonadota; Gammaproteobacteria; Pseudomonadales; Pseudomonadaceae
Description: bacterial SSU rRNA
Rfam family: Bacterial small subunit ribosomal RNA
Source: RNAcentral
CAAGUCGAGCGGAUGAGUGGAGCUUGCUCCAUGAUUCAGCGGCGGACGGGUGAGUAAUGCCUAGGAAUCUGCCUGGUAGUGGGGGACAACGUUUCGAAAGGAACGCUAAUACCGCAUACGUCCUACGGGAGAAAGCAGGGGACCUUCGGGCCUUGCGCUAUCAGAUGAGCCUAGGUCGGAUUAGCUAGUAGGUGAGGUAAUGGCUCACCUAGGCGACGAUCCGUAACUGGUCUGAGAGGAUGAUCAGUCACACUGGAACUGAGACACGGUCCAGACUCCUACGGGAGGCAGCAGUGGGGAAUAUUGGACAAUGGGCGAAAGCCUGAUCCAGCCAUGCCGCGUGUGUGAAGAAGGUCUUCGGAUUGUAAAGCACUUUAAGUUGGGAGGAAGGGCAGUAAGUUAAUACCUUGCUGUUUUGACGUUACCAACAGAAUAAGCACCGGCUAACUUCGUGCCAGCAGCCGCGGUAAUACGAAGGGUGCAAGCGUUAAUCGGAAUUACUGGGCGUAAAGCGCGCGUAGGUGGUUCAGCAAGUUGGAGGUGAAAUCCCCGGGCUCAACCUGGGAACUGCCUCCAAAACUACUGAGCUAGAGUACGGUAGAGGGUAGUGGAAUUUCCUGUGUAGCGGUGAAAUGCGUAGAUAUAGGAAGGAACACCAGUGGCGAAGGCGACUACCUGGACUGAUACUGACACUGAGGUGCGAAAGCGUGGGGAGCAAACAGGAUUAGAUACCCCUGGUAGUCCCACGCCGUAAACGAUGUCGACUAGCCGUUGGGAUCCUUGAGAUCUUAGUGGCGCAGCUAACGCAUUAAGUCG